CACAAGCGGUGGAUCAUGUUGUUUAAUUCGAUUGAUACGCGAAGAACCUUACCAGGUCUUGACAUCCCCCGCGAUGCUUUAGAGAUAAAGCGGAGGUAUUCGGGGAGACAGGUGGUGCAUGGUUGUCGUCAGCUCGUGUCGUGAGAUGUGGGUUAAGUCCCGCAACGAGCGCAACCCUAUUGCUAGUUACCAUCAUUAAGUUGGGGACUCUAGCGAGACUGCCAGUGAUAAACUGGAGGAAGUGGGGAUGACGUCAAAUCAUCAUGCCCCUUAUGACCUGGGCUACAAACGUGAUACAAUGGCUGGAACAAAGGGAUGCGAAGCAGUGAUGUGGAGCGAAACCCAUAAAAACAGUCUCAGUUCGGAUUGAAGUCUGCAACUCGACUUCAUGAAGUCGGAAUCGCUAGUAAUCGCGGAUCAGAACGCCGCGGUGAAUACGUUCUCGGGGUUU
Molecule: ribosomal RNA, 451 nt
Filed under: uncultured Acholeplasma sp.
Lineage: Bacteria; Bacillati; Mycoplasmatota; Mollicutes; Acholeplasmatales; Acholeplasmataceae
Description: bacterial SSU rRNA
Rfam family: Bacterial small subunit ribosomal RNA
Source: RNAcentral